Molecule: ribosomal RNA, 453 nt
Filed under: Citrobacter sp. S55_ASV_140
Lineage: Bacteria; Pseudomonadati; Pseudomonadota; Gammaproteobacteria; Enterobacterales; Enterobacteriaceae
Description: bacterial SSU rRNA
Rfam family: Bacterial small subunit ribosomal RNA
Source: RNAcentral
AAAUUGAAGAGUUUGAUCAUGGCUCAGAUUGAACGCUGGCGGCAGGCCUAACACAUGCAAGUCGAACGGUAGCACAGAGAGCUUGCUCUCGGGUGACGAGUGGCGGACGGGUGAGUAAUGUCUGGGAAACUGCCCGAUGGAGGGGGAUAACUACUGGAAACGGUAGCUAAUACCGCAUAAUGUCGCAAGACCAAAGAGGGGGACCUUCGGGCCUCUUGCCAUCGGAUGUGCCCAGAUGGGAUUAGCUAGUAGGUGAGGUAACGGCUCACCUAGGCGACGAUCCCUAGCUGGUCUGAGAGGAUGACCAGCCACACUGGAACUGAGACACGGUCCAGACUCCUACGGGAGGCAGCAGUGGGGAAUAUUGCACAAUGGGCGCAAGCCUGAUGCAGCCAUGCCGCGUGUAUGAAGAAGGCCUUCGGGUUGUAAAGUACUUUCAGCGAGGAGGAAGGC